UUAGAUUACGUGAAUAAAGAG
This is a non-coding RNA of Caenorhabditis elegans, 21 nucleotides long. The record is from Ensembl. NCBI's taxonomy places the organism in Eukaryota, Metazoa, Nematoda, Chromadorea, Rhabditida, Rhabditidae.